CCUGGAACUCACCAUGUAGACCAGGCUGGCCUCAAACUCACAGAGAUCUGCCUGCCUCUGCCUCCUGAGUGCUGGAAU
RNAcentral lists this microRNA precursor (78 nucleotides) under Cricetulus griseus (Chinese hamster). RNAcentral describes it as "miRNA (ENSCGRG00001004561.1)". The record is from RNAcentral. Lineage: Eukaryota; Metazoa; Chordata; Mammalia; Rodentia; Cricetidae.